ACGCUCGACACCUACGGGAGGCAGCAGUAGGGAAUCUUCCGCAAUGGACGAAAGUCUGACGGAGCAACGCCGCGUGAACGAUGAAGGUUUUCGGAUCGUAAAGUUCUGUUGUUAGGGAAGAACAAACUUCGUUUGAAUAAGGCGGAGUCAUGACGGUACCUAACGAGAAAGCCACGGCUAACUACGUACCAGCAGCCGCGGUAAUCUGAGCGGGCUGGCAAGGC
Molecule: ribosomal RNA, 224 nt
Filed under: uncultured bacterium
Lineage: Bacteria
Description: partial 16S ribosomal RNA
Rfam family: Bacterial small subunit ribosomal RNA
Source: RNAcentral